UUCUAGCCUCGUGAUUUACUGGAUCAUUCGAUUUCUUCUCCUUCUUCUCCUCGUGUCCAGUUCUCUGGAACCCCUCCCUCUGCCCACCGCUUCGCCGCCGUACCAGAGUAUAAUAGGGUCGUUCGCUUCCUUCUCCGUUUUAUCACACAUGCAUCUCCAGCUCCGAACCCCAGCGGCGUCGGCGCCCAUCUUCAUCGUUGGCAUGUGGUUGCCAUAGGUCGCCGUCGGGAUCCCAUCUUCCCUGCACCGUCCACCAUUGGGAACCACGCGCCGAGGCCAUGAACAAGGCGCGGUGGCAACAUAAAUAAGACCGCGGCAGGGUGGUGUUCCCGUCGUGGCCUGAGUUUUUCCUCGCAACCGAUCGAGUAGCUCCUCGACAUCUAUGAGGUCCCCCACCUUGGCCUCCAUCAGCAUCUCCAUCAGGUGCCUCUUGACGCCUCUGCAUGCCUUCUUCACGUCGGCGUCACCACAUGCGGCAGAAACGUCGCUGACGAUUUAUAAAUAUUGGUGGUAAUAGGUUUCGUUGGUGAUGCGAAUAUCGCGGCCGUGCCUAGCCGGGACGGUGGUAAUAGUGAGCUGAAGCUAUUGGCGCGGUGGCGGCGACGACGCCGGUCGUUCGUCAUCCUACCGAAUGUCUGGCGGAGCAGCUUCGACUUCGGCGGCUGCGAUAGCUACUGCGCCCUCGGCCGCCCCUUAAAGAGCACUAGCCCGCCGCUACACGGGUUGCACGGCAUGGUCCAUGUGCCGAGUUUUCGACCUCGACCGUGCCAAAUCUGUCGGUGGAGUUCUCUUACCUCACCCAGCAGUUUCUGUCUAUAGAUUUUCAUCAGCAAUCUGCGCAAUUGAAUCCGUAAUUAUCCAGCUAAAAUAGACUCAUGUUAUUACUGGCUUAACAGUCAACAAUUACUAUAUCUACAGUGGGUUCAGUGAGGUAGAUGUAUGGAACAUAUGGACAUGUAGUAAUCGGUAAUUAUGGUGUAGCAUAUUUGAGUCAAUUUGAUGUACUCCAUCCAUUUCUAAAUAUAAGUUUUUCUACUAGUCCAUGCCCUUUUUCUACUAAUGAUGAUUCAUCAUGAUUCGUCCUAGUGAUGUACUUCAAUAGCAAGAUUCACUCAUUUUUCUAGUAGAAAAAGGGCAUUUAGCUCCGGUUGAGUCAAUUUGGAUGUGUAGCAUAUUCACGAACUGGGACUAAUGGUCCAACCAAACCGGAGCUAAAUGCCCUUUUUCUACUAAUGAUGAUUCAUCCUACCAUGGACUUUGAUAAAUGGUACAAAGGGGAUACAACAACAUCCAAACACCGAAACAAUGAUCCAGUAUGUCACAUACUUUAAUAUGUCCAUACCGUAUCAGUCCUUGCCCUAGCUCUUCACCCAACUACUCCCUCCGUUUCUAAAUAGUAUAAGUCUUUAAAAAAGAUUCAUUAAUGGACUACAUACGAUUGUAUAUAGACACACUUUAGAGUAUAAAUUCACUCAUUUUACUCCGUAUGUAGACUUCU
Molecule: long non-coding RNA, 1498 nt
Filed under: Hordeum vulgare
Lineage: Eukaryota; Viridiplantae; Streptophyta; Magnoliopsida; Poales; Poaceae
Description: long non-coding RNA (HVUL_LNC017248)
Source: RNAcentral